CUACGGGUGGCAGCAGUGGGGAAUAUUGCACAAUGGGCGGAAGCCUGAACCAGCCAAGUCGCGUGAGGGAGUAAGGCCCUACGGGUCGUAAACCUCUUUUGCCGGGGAGCAGUGCCCAGCUCGUGAGCUGGGAGGGAGCGUACCCGGAGAAAAAGCAUCGGCUAACUCCGUGCCAGCAGCCGCGGUAAUACGGAGGAUGCGAGCGUUAUCCGGAUUUAUUGGGUUUAAAGGGUGGGUAGGCGGGCCUUCCGGCUGGCGGUAAAAGUGCGGGGCUCAAGCACGCCGAGCCGUCGGAACCGGGGGCCUUGAGUACCGGAGAAGUACGCGGAAUGCGUGGUGUAGCGGUGAAAUGCAUAGAUAUCACGCAGAACCCCGAUUGCGAAGGCAGCGUACCGGCCGGUCACUGACGCUGAGGCACGAAAGCGCGGGUAUCGAACAGGAUUAGAUACCCUAGUAGUC
Molecule: ribosomal RNA, 459 nt
Filed under: uncultured bacterium
Lineage: Bacteria
Description: partial 16S ribosomal RNA
Rfam family: Bacterial small subunit ribosomal RNA
Source: RNAcentral